ACUUAUGCAGUGAACCUCAAAGAUGGGGCAAACAUAGUCCCAGAAGAUGUGAAUUCAUAAAGUGCUUAACUGGAGCUUUCAGACAAAAUAGGAAUUUCUCAGAAAUCACUUGGAAAGUCUGGGAGCAGAAUUACUAUAGUUACUCUGGUGCAGAACAGUAGGAUUCAAGAAGCUUAUGAAACCUGACCAAGUAGCAAAGGAAGCUUUGAACUCAAAUCUCCCUGGCUCCAAGGCUUCUUUUUUUACACUUUUCACACCCGUGAUUCUUAAGCACAGGCUUAUCAUUUACUUGGCAGCAAAACCAGAAGAGAUUCACGAGGAUGGAGACUGAAAUUCUACGAAUCAAACAUUCUACAACAUUAUAUAAAGCCAUUAACACACUUUAAGUAUGAAGCCUGAAAGUGUGUCUAGUUCAUCGAUAGGUCUUUUAAAAAAAGAAAAGAAAAAGAAAAAUACUGCUCUAGAAAAAUAAUUAUUAAGAAAUUUUGGACUGUUGGAAAUUCGAUGAAAGAAUUUCCCCAGGAAAUCAAGAACAUUCUGGUUGAUCUAUGUCAACUGAAGGAGGAAAUACGAUAUUCUACUAUCUUAGGACUCCAAUAAUGCCUGGCAUUAAAACUUUCAAAUUAUCUGAGUACAGUUAACAGUCACAUAGAGGACAAGAUCAAGCUGGAUUUAAGCGACAGAACUCCAAUACCUUUGUGAUCCUUUCUGCACACAGAUCUCUCAGGGAGGAUUAAUGAAGAAGAGCUUCCAAUCCUUGAUUCAGACUCUUACUGAAUUGUAUUUCUAACAGGCAUAUAGUGCAUCACUGUAGCUCUCAUUUACUUCAAAACUACAAAGGAAAUAAAGCCACUAAA
Long non-coding RNA from Canis lupus familiaris (dog), 857 nucleotides. RefSeq lists it as uncharacterized. Lineage: Eukaryota; Metazoa; Chordata; Mammalia; Carnivora; Canidae. The transcript is spliced from 3 exons. The record is from RefSeq and is a predicted model, not a curated record.